Molecule: ribosomal RNA, 574 nt
Filed under: Bacillus amyloliquefaciens
Lineage: Bacteria; Bacillati; Bacillota; Bacilli; Caryophanales; Bacillaceae
Description: bacterial SSU rRNA
Rfam family: Bacterial small subunit ribosomal RNA
Source: RNAcentral
GUGGCUUCGGCUACCACUUACAGAUGGACCCGCGGCGCAUUAGCUAGUUGGUGAGGUAACGGCUCACCAAGGCGACGAUGCGUAGCCGACCUGAGAGGGUGAUCGGCCACACUGGGACUGAGACACGGCCCAGACUCCUACGGGAGGCAGCAGUAGGGAAUCUUCCGCAAUGGACGAAAGUCUGACGGAGCAACGCCGCGUGAGUGAUGAAGGUUUUCGGAUCGUAAAGCUCUGUUGUUAGGGAAGAACAAGUGCCGUUCAAAUAGGGCGGCACCUUGACGGUACCUAACCAGAAAGCCACGGCUAACUACGUGCCAGCAGCCGCGGUAAUACGUAGGUGGCAAGCGUUGUCCGGAAUUAUUGGGCGUAAAGGGCUCGCAGGCGGUUUCUUAAGUCUGAUGUGAAAGCCCCCGGCUCAACCGGGGAGGGUCAUUGGAAACUGGGGAACUUGAGUGCAGAAGAGGAGAGUGGAAUUCCACGUGUAGCGGUGAAAUGCGUAGAGAUGUGGAGGAACACCAGUGGCGAAGGCGACUCUCUGGUCUGUAACUGACGCUGAGGAGCGAAAGCGUGGGGA